Molecule: ribosomal RNA, 191 nt
Filed under: uncultured bacterium
Lineage: Bacteria
Description: partial 16S ribosomal RNA
Rfam family: Bacterial small subunit ribosomal RNA
Source: RNAcentral
AACUCGCCUGCAUGAAGUCGGAAUUGCUAGUAAUCGCAGAUCAGCAUGCUGCGGUGAAUACGUUCCCGGGCCUUGUACACACCGCCCGUCACACCAUGGGAGUCGGUAACACCCGAAGUCGGUAGUCUAACCGAAAGGAGGACGCCGCCGAAGGUGGGAUUGAUGACUGGGUGAAGUCGUAACAAGGUAUC